GGCCAGACUCCUACGGGAGGCAGCAGUGAGGAAUAUUGGUCAAUGGCCGAGAGGCUGAACCAGCCAAGUCGCGUGAGGGAAGACGGCCCUACGGGUUGUAAACCUCUUUUGUCGGGGAGCAAAGCGAACCACGUGUGGUUCAUUGAGAGUACCCGAAGAAAAAGCAUCGGCUAACUACGUGCCAGCAGCCGCGGUAAUACGUAGGGGGCAAGCGUUAUCCGGAUUUACUGGGUGUAAAGGGAGCGUAGACGGCAGAGCAAGUCUGAAGUGAAAGCCCGCGGCCCAACUGCGGGACUGCUUUGGAAACUGCCCGGCUAGAGUGCUGGAGAGGUAAGCGGAAUUCCUAGUGUAGCGGUGAAAUGCGUAGAUAUUAGGAGGAACACCAGUGGCGAAGGCGGCUUACUGGACAGUAACUGACGUUGAGGCUCGAAAGCGUGGGGAGCAAACAGGAUUAGAUACCCUAGUAAC
This 468-nucleotide ribosomal RNA is filed under the name uncultured bacterium. RNAcentral describes it as "bacterial SSU rRNA". It matches the Rfam family "Bacterial small subunit ribosomal RNA", at positions 329 to 794 of the family's 1533-position model. The record is from RNAcentral.